GCAGGUGAGGGUGAUCUCACUGUAACAUCUGCCACCCCACUACUGAUCGCCAGAGUCAAGUUGGCUGAUCUGGUUGGCUAGGUGGGUGUUCCCUUUCUCCCUCACCUCUCCAUGUGAUCCCUUUUGAAGCUGUGCACUCAAAGAAGAUGACCAUCCUAGGUGGAUGAGGGCUCUUUUCCUCAUUCAAGUGUAUACAAGUAGCCAUGCUCCCCUGCUAGAACCUCCAAACAAGCUCUCAAGAAUAUUUGCCCAAUGUCACAUAAUAGGAAGUACAUGGUCUUGAAUCCAGGACAUGGCUAAUAAUCUUUCCACAGUGCCAAGCUUUCUAUUCAUUGGGCAGGAAGAAGCUUUGA
Molecule: small nuclear RNA, 353 nt
Filed under: Octodon degus (degu)
Lineage: Eukaryota; Metazoa; Chordata; Mammalia; Rodentia; Octodontidae
Description: 7SK RNA (ENSODEG00000024047.1)
Rfam family: 7SK RNA
About the family: 7SK was discovered as an abundant small nuclear RNA in the mid-70s but a possible function has only recently been suggested. Two independent studies have found that 7SK RNA binds the CDK9/cyclin T complex (known as elongation factor P-TEFb).
Source: RNAcentral